Molecule: long non-coding RNA, 554 nt
Filed under: Marmota monax (woodchuck)
Lineage: Eukaryota; Metazoa; Chordata; Mammalia; Rodentia; Sciuridae
Source: RNAcentral
UGGGGGCUUAAGGUGGGGGUAGGGAAGCCCAGCUGGUGCAGCCAUAGAGGAAGGUCUGACCCCUCACCUCCUGCCUCAUAGCCCAACAUAGCACUGUCCUUAGAAGCUAGUGCCAUCUUUCUGGGCCUGUCUCUGCAUCUACAAAAUGAGACUCCUGAGGACCACCUGGCUCAAAAAGAGGAAAUGUGGCAUGUAGGCCAGGGUCAGGGAAUGCCACCAGCUUGGGGAAAGGAAGAAUUGGAGUUCAACAGGAACAAAUGCCCAGGGUCGCGGGGAGAAUCCGGGAGGGCCUUGGAGGAAAUGUCCUCAGCCUAUGCGGUUUCCUCGUGGGACUCUGCAGAAGGCAGCGCUGAGGAGUGGCGGUGACUGAUGGUUGUACAGGAGUCCCCCAACCCAGGGGAGCCCUGAGCAUCUCCUCCACUUUCAUAAACUGCAGAGAAUCUGGGAUCCAACCCCUGACCCAGGACGGUGCAGCGAAUCUAGGGCAGGCGAAAGUCUAUCUGUACGGCUCCUGCGGUCAGCUUCACGGGUGGCACUUUGACCACCAUCCGCGG